GAUGAACGCUAGCGGCAGGCUUAAUACAUGCAAGUCGUGGGGCAGCAGGACUGUAGCAAUACAGUUGCUGGCGACCGGCAUACGAGUGCGGCACACGUACGCAACUUACCCUGAACUGGGGGAUAGCCCGGGGAAACCCGGAUUGAUACCCCGUAAUAUAAUGGAGUGGCAUCACUUUAUUAUUAAAGCUCCGGCGGUUCGGGAUGGGCGUGCGGCUGAUUAGGUAGUUGGUUGAGGUAACGGCUCACCAAGCCUACGAUCAGUAACUGGUGGGAGAGCACGACCCGUCACACGGGGACUGGGACACGGGCCCGAGUCCUACGGGAGGCAGCAGUAAGGAAGAUUGGGCAAUGGAGGCAACUCUGACCCAGCCAUGCCGCGUGGAGGAUGAAGGCCCUCUGGGUUGUAAACUUCUUUUAUAGGGGAUGAAACCUGUGUAUUCUUACGCAGUUGACGGUACCCUAGGAAUAAGCACCGGCUAACUCCGUG
RNAcentral lists this ribosomal RNA (489 nucleotides) under uncultured bacterium. Its description in RNAcentral is "partial 16S ribosomal RNA". It matches the Rfam family "Bacterial small subunit ribosomal RNA", at positions 28 to 507 of the family's 1533-position model. The record is from RNAcentral.